Molecule: long non-coding RNA, 1616 nt
Filed under: Oryctolagus cuniculus (rabbit)
Lineage: Eukaryota; Metazoa; Chordata; Mammalia; Lagomorpha; Leporidae
Description: lncRNA (ENSOCUG00000034656.1)
Source: RNAcentral
CCGGGUGGCGCGGGGCGGCGGCUUUUGCAGCCCCAGGUGGAACCGGAGCACUUGGGGGCGCUGGGAGCGAGCGGCGCCCUGAGCCCGGAGCGAGGAGGGCGCGCGAGUUAUGGAGGGGCCGGUGUGGGAGCCCCGGCUCUCGGAGCUCCGCGUGGUGCGGCGCAGGCGGGACGAGGAAUCGCUGGGAGGAAGCCGGGACGGAAGCGGGCCCCUGCGGCGAGAGCGGAGCCCACGCGGAGACUGCGCGGGCGUCCGAACCCCCUAGAAUGGAGGCGCCGCUCCUGCAGUGGCCGGCCUUGUUUUCUUUUUGCAUGCAAAUGCCGGAACGCCCGGAACCGCCAUCCCUGCCUGCGUCCCAGGGGCGCCCCAGUACGCGGCGGCGGGGGGAGGGUACGCCCCGCGGGGCCACGCUGGGAGAGCCUCAGCCUUGGUUGAGGCCGGGGAGGGCCGCCGAGGUGGCUCCGCGGGGCUGCGGGCCGCAGCGGUGGCCAACGCACUCGAACCCGCCUCCCCCUCCCCCGGAAGAGCGAGCACAGGAAGACGCGGGCUAUCUCUGGGGCCUCCCCAGGGGGUGUGGGAGCCGCGCGGGGACUGCGAGGCGGGAGGAGGUGCUGGUGCUGGAGGCACUAGUCAGGGGUUACUUGCAGCCUCAGCCCCCCCCCUCCCCCCCCCCCCGCCGCUAUCGUCCGGCGAUCCGGGCCAGCCUGCGGCGGCGUCCCCGACUGCUCCGCGAUCCUGGGCAGGGCAGGAAGCUGGCACGGCCGCCGGCUGGGCAGGCGCCACUUGGCCGAGUAGGCUGCUCGCUGGAACUCGCGCGGCACCUUCGCGCCCACUCGGGUUCCCGGGUCUCCGGCCCGGCCACCCUGAGCCGCUGCUCCCCGCACCCCCUCGCUGUGUCCCUCGGCCUCCCUCGGAAGUCUCCCCGUCUCCUCCCGCCCUCUCGGCUUUUCCCUUCCUCGGUCUGUCUCGGGAGCUCCGUAACGCAGUCAACCCCCCUUCCCGAGAUUCAAAAAGAAAUUUUGUGUUUCCCCGGGGGCAGCAGCCUAAUGCUUCCCUUGUUUUCCGGAACAAAGCAGACAUUCAGCGGGGAGGGGGCAGGCGCUGACUCCUUCCCGCUCCCCGUAGCACCCCGAACCCCUGCAGGUUCACAACGCUCGCGUCGGAGCCCGGCUGGCCCAGGGGAGGGGUGGGGGCCCCCUGCCCCCAAGUUGGGCCACAAAGGCCUCGCCCGGGAGCCAGCGAGAAGGCGACAGGGUGCUUGGGUGAGGUUUACAGGCCGGGCGGGGAGGGCGCGCACGCGGCUGUUUACAGUGUGUCUGUGCUGCUGGAAGCUCGCCCGCCGCCGCUUGACAGCGUGGGGCACCCGCGGGCUGCCAGCUCAGAGGAGUUGCGCAGCGGCGGGCCCUCCGGCGCUCGGCCUGAGGCCUCCGCAGCGCCGGGACCAGGGCGCGCAGGGAAGCAAGAGAUCUCCCAUCUCGCAUCCCUCUUCCAACCCGUAAACUCCCUCCCCCGCUCGGGGUCUGGAUCGGGUAGCAUAUCAAAGGGACUCCCGGAGCGGGGAGGAGCUCACCAGGGCGCUAUGGGCCGGCGUAGCGCCCGGGUUCUCAGCAGACUCC